AGAAAGCCACUUGUGAUUAUAACUAUCAAGUGGGAGUUAAUUGAGAAUUAACUUAGGGUUAGGUUGAUUACCCUAAGUAUAAAAGCUUGCUACAGUAACCUAAAGCAUUACGUUGAUCUCGUUUCUCUUCCCUUACUAUGUUCCCUGCUUAUUGCAUCUUCGCCAUCUCGAUCGUGUUGGCACCGUGCGAUCAUUGUUGGCUAAGCCUUCUCCUCUAUCGAUCGCCUGAGCCAACCAACCACACUCCCUAGAUCGUCACCCCGUGCAAACAGAUCUUCGGCCAAGAGGGGAGAUUCGAGCCUUAGCCUUGAUCUCCCAUCGCCGCAUCCCUGCGCAUCAUGUCUCUGAUCUUCGAUUUGCACUACUUCGGCCAACCUCUUACUCCACUCCCCAUUGUCACCCGAUUGCAUCAGAUCCCUACUUGACACCACCGCUCGAUCGUGCCGGUGCCACAUGGUCGCCGCCCUUUUCCUUUGCCUUGGCUCACCACCAUCCUUCUUCGUUGCCUUCGAGCCGGUGCCCUAGUGUUGUCGAUGUCCUUUCCUCUACCUCGGCUCGUCACCACAGCACCAUAGAGACAUUCGGAUUCUGUCUGUGAGGAAGUGUGGAUCCGGCUUAGGGGUAAGUUGCCGGUGCCACAUGGUCGCCGCCCUUUUCCUUUGCCUUGGCUCACCACCAUCCUUCUUCGUUGCCUUCGAGUCGGUGCCCUAGUGUUGUCGAUGUCCUUUCCUCUACCUCGGCUCGUCACCACAGCACCAUAGAGACAUUCGGAUUCUGUCUGUGAGGAAGUGUGGAUCCGGCUUAGGGGUAAGUUGUUAGCUAAAGGUUGUAGAAUAAGAGUUAGAGUUUAAUUCUUAGAUGUGGAUGUAUUGAUUGUAAAUUUGGGUGUUGGAAUUGGAGCAGCAGUUUCACCUUCUCCAGGCAUCAAUUUUGACAGUGAGUUUCUCUAGGGGAGAAUCAUUGGCUGAGGUAUCAACCCGGUGAGUCGUUGACAUUGAUCUAUGUUUAGCUUAACCUAUUUUGAUUAUAGAAGAGUUAGGGCUAGUUAGUCCACUUUGAUUGUGAAAUUAUUAAGAGUAAUUAACUCAAUUGGAUCGUGGAAUGAUUAGGGAAUGUAGUUAUGAUCAAUUAUGAAUGAGGUCAGAUUUAGAGAUGAUGCAUAUAUAAACCCUAAUAUAGUAAGUUUAUGAUAUGAUUAAGGUUUAAUUGAGGACCUAAUUUAAUCAAAUCACUUGGAUGGAUUAAGCUAAGGUUGGGUUAGCUCCGAUUCGAUCAAUAAAGGAGAAUUAACCCAAGGAGUUUAGAUUCGAGGCGAGUAUCUUGAUGUGGAAAUUGUUUGACAUGAUCUAAAGAUAAAAGACGGGUAUUACGAGCAUAUAUGUUGUUGAUCUCUAGUGAGUUUACUGAUCAUUCUAUCAGAUGUGUUAGAUCCAGAUUAGAUAAGGGCAAGGGAUGGAUGAACUAGGGGAGCAGCAGGAGGGGCUAGAAGGACAUGUGUGGCAGUGAUCUGGCUAAGGAUAAAGAAAAUACCUGCUUACACUAAAUAAGAAUUAUGCCUAGUUUUAUGUCAUUUACUUUAUAACUUCAUGACAUUUUACUUUGUGUUGAGUAUCAUGACUCGAAAACAAUAUUAAGUAUGCUAUGUGGUUUAUGUGAUUAGAUGAUUAGUCAUGGUGAAUUUUAAAGUCAUGAAAAGGUUAUAAAUGUUACGAAUAAGACUUCCGCUGUAAUAAG
Long non-coding RNA from Zingiber officinale, 1734 nucleotides. RefSeq lists it as uncharacterized. The record is from RefSeq and is a predicted model, not a curated record. The transcript is spliced from 4 exons. NCBI's taxonomy places the organism in Eukaryota, Viridiplantae, Streptophyta, Magnoliopsida, Zingiberales, Zingiberaceae.